This is a long non-coding RNA of Hylaeus anthracinus, 1521 nucleotides long. RefSeq lists it as uncharacterized. The record is from RefSeq and is a predicted model, not a curated record. The transcript is spliced from 2 exons. Lineage: Eukaryota; Metazoa; Arthropoda; Insecta; Hymenoptera; Colletidae.
AGCGUGCAGCACAGCUGCUUCAUUAUGCACGGGUUACGUGAUUCGCAGAAUAAAUAUUGCAACGGUCUUUACACACAGCUGAACGCAUUGUUUUUCUUUCCCUGGCACGGUCGUUAAUCCUGUUACUUCUCGUCGGACGUGUACUCGAGAUAACUGCAAUACCCGUUCCUCCCGUUUGCCCUGACGAACGAAAUUCGUGUUUCCAGUUUCCUAUUAUCCUCUCGUACGUCUUUUCUCAUUGCGCCCGCGCGCGUGUACUUUCGGUAACCAUUGUCGUUGGACGUAAUUAGGUUCAACUUUAUGUAAAAACGUUCGUAUUUACCAUUGUUCCGUGUAACUUGCCAGAGGCUCGAAUCCCCUUGCUUUCAAUAUGGUUUCCAUCAUUGUUCGAGUCGAUUUGACGAAUUCACUGUUUAAUUGCUUUGAAUUGGUAGGAUAAAAUACUCAUUGGUAAAAUAUUCAUUGUUUGUUGCAAUUGUUACGCGUACAUGAAACUGGAGUUGUAUUUAAUCCUUAAUCUGUAAACAUUUUUCCAGUUAUUUAUUCCUAACAUAUUUUAUAAUGUGUAAAAGUCUUUUUAAAAAUCUGAACAAAUUUAUAUAUACUUUUCAAACAUUCCGAAUCGAGUUUGGAAUGAAACAUUUUAAAAGUAACUGAUUCAAAUAUAUCUGAACAUAUACAUAUAUGUAAAGUGAAACACGUGAAAGAUAUUAAUCUGAUUAAAAAAAUCAUAACUUUUAAGUGAAUUACGAUACAGCAAAGAAUCGAGUAGCAAAUUGAUAUCGAAGGUUCAAACUUUAAUAAAAAAAAUCUACACUUCUUGAUUGCAGUUUAAUGCUUAAGUUUCUUGCGUGGAUAAUCAUAAUUUUUUUACGCAUGAAAUGUAAGGUUCAUAAGUAAGAAAAUUUUGCUUCGAAACAUUAUUUAUUACAUCGAAACAUGCGUACAUACCUCAUUCUCGUUAAUGUCUCCACCAAGGCAAACCUCACUGGUUCACGGAGCAAGGGUUAAUAUGACAACAUUAGCGUUAAAAUAAUCAAAGAACAAGACGAAUCGUACAGCUCCGCGUCAGGUGUCACGAAUCACGUUUUUGCUAAUUGCAGGACUUUUGCCUACGGGCGAACACAUGCACAUCCAGCCCAUCGACACCGUAUAUACCUUCGACAGCUGGCACGAAAGUCACUGAGUACCCUAAAUCCAAAGCGAGCCCCUUGUCUCCAUGAUCCACGAUCCUCGUCCUCUGCAAAGAAAAUCACGAGCGGUUGUACAUAAUUGCCUGCUCGCUCCUCGAGAUCAGAGGCAAAAAAGUAAAGGCGGCGGAAGUAGUUGCUGCUCAUCUUCCUGUCGCAUACUUUAAAACCUCGCCGGCUGCCCUGGAUCACGCGGGGGUCGUUCAGAGUGCGAGCCAGCGCGCACGCGUUCAGGCUGAGCCGUUGGUUUCUAAGGUUUUAUGCUGGUGUAUAAUUGUUAGUGGCUGAGCUCGUGAGCAGUGUAGCAAAAAAAAAAAAGAAAGAAAGAAAG